This 266-nucleotide long non-coding RNA is filed under the name Ananas comosus (pineapple). RNAcentral describes it as "long non-coding RNA (ACOM_LNC044131)". The record is from RNAcentral. Lineage: Eukaryota; Viridiplantae; Streptophyta; Magnoliopsida; Poales; Bromeliaceae.
AAAGGGAUUGUAAAGCAAACAAUAAAAUUUGUUUGAUAAGAUUAAGACUUCGUUUGAGAUUGCGGUGGGGUUGCGGGGAGAUUGCAUUACGUGCUGUGAGAAACGACGAUGGAAAAAUAUUCUGUUUGUUUCCGUACGUAAUAUUGCGUUCCGUAUAUUGCGGUUAGUCAAUUACGACAUAUUUUCUGCGGUUCCAUCGGAGAACGCAGAAAUAUAUCCCUAAACUCAAAUUUUUACAAAAGCUAAUCAUAUAUUUCUCAUCACAU